Molecule: long non-coding RNA, 952 nt
Organism: Anopheles coluzzii
Lineage: Eukaryota; Metazoa; Arthropoda; Insecta; Diptera; Culicidae
Exons: 9
Source: RefSeq, a predicted model, not a curated record
UUUCCGUAAAUGUUCUUUUCUCUUGCGCCCUCGACUGAGAAGGACGUUCUCGUAUAUUACACCACGAAAGCUGCCAAGUUGUUGUUAUUAAAGUUUAUUAAAAUGAUCAAUAAUCUUACUAAAUUAGCUAGAGCAACGUUAAAACCCAAGCGGUAGCUAGUUGCGUGUGUAUUUGUAAUGGAAUUUUACUGAAAAAUAUGACCUCCAAGCUCCGUCUACCAUGUGGUAGCGUGGUUCCCAACACCCGGCUGGCUACUUGUGGCACAUCCGGCGGGUAAAGGCGUCAUCUGCGGCAUGAAUCCAGCGGCACUGCCACAAGGUACAUCAUGAAUCGGCAUGGAAAUAUACAGGCCUCUCCGUAGGCGAUUAUUCCAAGGAUAAGAGAAUGGCGUUCGAAUUUUCUUAUACACGCGUCCUUACGUUCGAUACUAGGAGGGACGCUACCUAAACAGAUUAAUUUCUGGUAUUAACGUUUUUCCAAUCGGAUUCGAUGUCAACCAGGUACAUCACAUCGAGCAUGGAGAUGGGUCAGGCACCACCAGCAGAUGAUUACAAUUUGCUAUGCGUAAUUGAUGAAAGAAAUCACCACGCGAUGCCCUUGGAGAAGUUUUUCGCUGCAACAGCCGUUUUAAUAGUUCGAAAAAGGAGGGGACAGCUUAUUUCCACAGCGUGGCGUGGUUUGGGACAAUGUCGACGAUUGUUCACUGAAAAGCUGUAUUAAAAUAUUGGAGCUCGUCCCGUGAUCAUCGUCUUCUUACCAUCAUUAAUCGCGGAUAUUCUGCCCUUCUGCGACUGAGAGGACGCUAACUUUUUAUGGGAGAAAAUCAUCAGCUUUCAAUAUUGAGUCCGUUUAUGAAAGCGUUCUGACAUCAUUGAGAUAUGAGUGGGGACGUCAUCAACGAACGCUCUCGAUCGACCGCCAGUGUGUGAUAUGCUUCGGUGAUCCUCUUUU